GAAUCAUUCACAAUGGGCGAAAGCCUGAUGGUGCGACGCCGCGUGGGGGACGAAGGUCUUCGGAUUGUAAACCCCUGUCACCGGGGACAAAACGUCGUCUGUUAACAGCAGCCGACCUGAUUUAACCCGGAGAGGAAGCAGUGGCUAACUCUGUGCCAGCAGCCGCGGUAAUACAGAGACUGCAAGCGUUGUUCGGAUUCACUGGGCGUAAAGGGUGCGCAGGCGGCCGGGUGUGUCGGGUGUGAAAGCUCGAGGCUUAACCUCGAAAUUGCGCCCGAAACUAUCCGGCUAGAGUACUGGAGAGGGAAGCGGAAUUCACGGUGUAGCAGUGAAAUGCGUAGAUAUCGUGAGGAACACCAAUGGCGAAGGCAGCUUCCUGGACAGUUACUGACGCUCAGGCACGAAAGCGUGGGGAGCAAAA
This 421-nucleotide ribosomal RNA is filed under the name uncultured bacterium. RNAcentral describes it as "bacterial SSU rRNA". It matches the Rfam family "Bacterial small subunit ribosomal RNA", at positions 359 to 773 of the family's 1533-position model. The record is from RNAcentral.